AUCUGGGCGGCGGAAUUCAGGAUGGCUGGGCGGGUCUCGCGCCUGUCCGGCCGUCUGAUAUUUCCGUCGCCGCGUCAGACGUCGCGACCUGUUUGCCGUCGGUCCUUGCUCGGAGGAAUCGCGAUCGAGUUCGUUGCGGGCGUGUUUCGGCGCGCUCCGCGGCGAAGACGCGGCUCUCUGGCCGACGGUGGACAGUAAGCAACGGUGUCCGAUGCCGUGUCUCGUCACUCGGCGUCGGUGCCGGUCAGCGACGAUUUCUUCGGGCCUCUUUCCGACCCGUCUUGAAACACGGACCAAGGAGUCUAACAUGCGCGCGAGUCGCGGGGUUUCGAGCGUGCCACGGUGCGCUCGUUACUUCCGAAACCCGUACGUUGAAGGCGUAAUGAAAGUGAACAGGGAAGAUGGCGUUCCGAGUCCACGUACCGUGAUCGAGUAUCGCGGCCGGACGCCCGCACUCCCGGGGCGUCUCAAUGGCUCGUCGCGGACGCGGACGGUCGUCUCUCGGGGCGGCCGUCGGUCUGCGCCGGACCGA
Molecule: ribosomal RNA, 532 nt
Filed under: Unaspis yanonensis (arrowhead scale)
Lineage: Eukaryota; Metazoa; Arthropoda; Insecta; Hemiptera; Diaspididae
Also listed under: 1 other name
Description: eukaryotic LSU rRNA
Source: RNAcentral